UUUUUUUAAAUAAUUAUUUACGUGGACCAAUAAAAUUGUGCCAUGUGUUUAUUGUGUCCACGUAGACAAUCCGACCUGGCAGUUAACAGCUAAAUUUGGACGGAAGUGUUAAAUUGCUAACAGUUUCCUGGUUUUGGGGGUUUACCCGCACAAAUUUAGGUUUUAGGGAUUUAGUGAAACCAAAACAAAAGUAUUGGGGAUUUUGCCGCCCAAAUCGUGGUCUCUGUUUGCUCUCUGGCACCGAGAAACGUCUGGGCUUGUUUGGACAGAGGUUCAUCGGCACUGAGAAACGUUUGGGCUUAUCUGUUCGUCGGCACAAAUGACUAUUUCUUCCGCUUCUAUUUGUUUUUUCAUUUAUUAAUUGUUUGAGAUUUGAGAUUCUGAUUUUUUUUUUCUUGCUUUGAAUAUGAGAUUUAAGAUUUCAGCUUUAAUUUUAAUUUUUUUUAUGUUUGAAUCUGACAUUGAGAUGGUUUUUAAUAAAUUGUGGAUAUUGUGGUGAUGGUGGGUGGUGUUGUGUAAUGGUAGUGGUGGUGGUAUGUCACGGCAAUGGUGGUUGGUGUUGCAAGAAAUAUCUUUAUAUAUAAAAAGUGACAAUCUAAUAGAUUUUGUUGGUUGAACGAUGUUUUAAUAUUUUUUACUAUUAAUUUUAACGAAGAUUUAACAGAACUGUUAACUUAUAUCUUAUUUAAAUUAAUCGCUAAACAUUCCCAUCAUCAAUCGCUCAUCUCUCACACACUUUUCUAAUUCUGAAAACCCUACGUCAAAAAAAAAAUAAUUGAAAACCCUAAUCACAAAUUCUACGAUAAUUGCUUUUAUGUUGAAGAAGAUUUGGGUGACCAAAAGUUACCCAUUAGAAGAUGUUAUUUGUUUUCUAAAUUGUUUGAAGAAUUUACUCAGGCUUUUGGUUUAAUAUGACAGGUACAAUCGAUAAACACUAGGUUUUGGGUUUGUUGUUUCUGUUUUCUUUUUCGUAACGAUUUGUCUUGGGGUUUGUAUCGCUCCUCUGGUUUCAGAUCCUUAUCAACCCGAUAUUUAUUUUAUUGUUAAAAUUGGUGACUCCAUUUUCUCAUUGAAAUCCUAAUUUUUUUGAAAAAAUUUUCUCUCUCAAUCUCUCUCUCUUUCUCACAUAGACACACUCAGUAGCUCAUUUUGGUUGGAGGCCUGUUGUUUAUGUUUUGGGACUUUGACCUUGGAGUUGUUCGGUGUUUGGAUUGGAAAUGGUGGGAGGUAGGAGUGCUAGGCGCAAUGAGUACCCAGUGAUAUAGAGCUCCAACUUUUUUGUUGCACUCUGGGGUUUUAAGAAGAAGAAGAAGAAGUCGGAUAAGAACAAAGGCAUUGUAGAAGGAAAGAGAAGAAAAGCUUCUAACAACUUUUAAAAGUCACCUUGAACCAUUUGUUAACAAGCGUACUGACGAGUUUGUGGAAUUGGCAACUUCAGAAGCAUGACGUCUCUCAACAGUUGGUAGAACUUUUUUUUCCUCAUAAGUUUUAAUUUUUUUUAUGUUCUGUUAUUAUUAUCUUUCGAAAUUUAUUUGGAGUAAUUAUUUCUUGGUAGCUUUUGCAAAAUGUGAAAGGAAAAAUAUUGAUAGGGUACAAUAAAAUAAUGGCUCCACAAUAUUGAUAAGGUAAUUUGAUCAGGAUAUAAUGAGAAGGAAACUAUUAUGGAUUUUCCA
Molecule: long non-coding RNA, 1673 nt
Organism: Cannabis sativa
Lineage: Eukaryota; Viridiplantae; Streptophyta; Magnoliopsida; Rosales; Cannabaceae
Exons: 4
Source: RefSeq, a predicted model, not a curated record